Pelobates cultripes (western spadefoot toad) is the source of this 458-nucleotide non-coding RNA. The record is from the annotation of a GenBank genome assembly. NCBI's taxonomy places the organism in Eukaryota, Metazoa, Chordata, Amphibia, Anura, Pelobatidae.
GCCUGUGUGAGCACUUCAAUGGUACGUUGAAGCAAAUGCUCCAUACCUUUGUGGCGACUCACAAGGAUUGAGAGAGAUUCCUGCCCCAGCUCCUGUUUGCCUAUCGGGAGGUGCCACAGGAAUCGACUGGGUUCUCCUCGUUUGAACUGCCAUGCCAGGGAACUCCUUGGAGCUUGCUUUGGUGUGCUCGGUCCCUGGGUGCGGUGGGCAGUAACAGGAGUACUGUCUAGUGGAUGGCUGCUCCACUUUUGCACCCUGCUCUAGGAGGAGGAGGUGGAUGUGGAGUAGGAGGUUGAGGAGGCAGUGACCGUGGCAGUGAUGACACAUUCGGAUGUCUGCCCUAUCAACUUUUGAUGUUACUAUCUGCACCUACCAUGGUGACCAUGGGUAAUCGGGAAUCAGGGUUCGAUUCCAGAGAUGGAGCCUGAGAAGCGUCUACCACAUCCAAGAAAAGCAGC